ACAUUCAAUAUCUAUCCUUAAUCCUACACCACUUCCAUCCGUCGAUUCGAUCCCAAAUCUAAAAACCAGGAACAGUCGCCCACACCACAAUUCCCUGCAAGGCUGCAACUCUCACCGCCAAGCCGCCUUCGUCGCGCCGGCCACCACCGAGAUAUGUCACCUCUCUUUUCCUUCACCAUGAUUCCCCCGCCAGCCCUCCGAUCUGCCGACUCCCCAAAAUUGAUUUGGGGAAAAUCAGAAAUCGCCGGCCGCCGCCACCUGCCACCUCCAUCUAAUUCCCUCCAUUUCGCUUCUCCACACAGGAUUUUUCCCCCACCCCCGCCGCGAUUCUAUGAUAUUUGGCGUCUCCAGACCAGACUCCCCUUCCUCCCGCUGUAUUUUGCCGCAGUCCGGCCUCAAGUCAGCACUGCCGCCCCUCUAACCUUUCUGCCGCGUCUCGACGUCAGACUCCCCCCUCCUCCGCCCGCGAUUCGUAGCACUCCGGCCCCAAGUCGGCGCUGCCCCAACCACCAUUCUCUAACCCGACCAUGGGACGGGUCAUAUCCAGCGCUAAUGGCUGCCCGGCCGCAUCUAAGCGCCGUCGACCACCGUAUUCCCCCUUCCUCUAACAUGGAAUUGUGAUUGUGCAAGCGAAGAAUUUCACUUUCGAAAUCUCUUUUUCCAAAAUUGCCAAAAUCAGUAUUUCAGUGAUCGAAAGAGCGAAUGAACACGACAAUGGUUAAAAUUGCCCUGAUUGGCAUCCAUGCUGGGAGCACGGGUCUUAAUUUAACGUCAGCUGACACUGUUGUGUUUUUGGAGUUACCCACGAACCUUGCUGAUAUUCAACAGCAUGAAGAAUAUUAUUGUAUAUUAGAAAGAAUGUGCAGAAACUCGGCCUACAUGGGAUAGUGUCAUUAAAAUAAAUCUGAAACAAGCAUGGUUGGUUUCAAAGUACGUUUGUGCACAUGCGUGAUGGUCGACAUGGUGGAUCCGUGAUCAAAAUAAUUUAGGCCACUUCGAAAGCUGCUGUUAACUCCAUGACAAAUGUAAUCUUUUAUCGCAGUUUCCAUCUCCGUUUUGAGAAACGGAAGUAGUGAAUACUAAAAACAGAGUUUGAGACUAUGUUUCCCUUUAAGAACAGAUGUUGCUCACAUCAACUAUGUUUCUUGCUAUUCAUUUGUUCUAGAUGUGUAAAAGAACUUUUCUCCAAGUGAAAAUUGUGAAAUAGUUUUGUCUCCGGAGAA
Long non-coding RNA from Salvia miltiorrhiza (redroot sage), 1223 nucleotides. RefSeq lists it as uncharacterized. The record is from RefSeq and is a predicted model, not a curated record. The transcript is spliced from 5 exons. NCBI's taxonomy places the organism in Eukaryota, Viridiplantae, Streptophyta, Magnoliopsida, Lamiales, Lamiaceae.